Molecule: unclassified non-coding RNA, 287 nt
Filed under: Hevea brasiliensis (rubber tree)
Lineage: Eukaryota; Viridiplantae; Streptophyta; Magnoliopsida; Malpighiales; Euphorbiaceae
Source: RNAcentral
GGUUUGCACAAACCGUAGGAACCGCAGGGACUAGGAAAAUCGCAGAUGUCAGCAAUCGCUUGAUAAUCCAAUACCCAGGUGGAACCAUCCCAAAAGUAGCCUUUCUGGUUGCCGUUCGAUUCUAACCGGACUAAGAGGAAUCGGUUGAUAGGUUGCUGGUAGGUGUUAAAAGGUUGAACGUCUACAGGAGCGUUUCCCGUUUGGAACAUAUCCAAGAACCCUCUCGAUUCGACCCGUGCAAGAAUCGGACCUUGUCCUUCAACUAUAACUGCUCUGGCUUCCAGCGC